RNAcentral lists this ribosomal RNA (274 nucleotides) under uncultured bacterium. Its description in RNAcentral is "partial 16S ribosomal RNA". It matches the Rfam family "Bacterial small subunit ribosomal RNA", at positions 523 to 796 of the family's 1533-position model. The record is from RNAcentral.
AUACGGAGGGUGCAAGCGUUAUUCGGAAUCACUGGGCGUAAAGGACGCGUAGGCGGGUUGGCAAGUCAGAUGUGAAAUCCUACAGCUUAACUGUAGAACUGCAUUUGAAACUGCUAACCUAGAGUAUGGGAGGGGGAGAUGGAAUUAGUGGUGUAGGGGUAAAAUCCGUAGGUAUCACUAGGAAUACCGAAAGCGAAGGCGAUCUCCUGGAACAUAACUGACGCUGAGGUGCGAAGGCGUGGGUAGCGAACAGGAUUAGAAACCCCAGUAGUCC